GAUGAAAUGUGCAAAUUUUUAUAAUAGUAGGUAAUUCAUGUGUAAGAAUUUUCAUUUUAAUAUAGAAAAUGCCAUGUUUGAUCAUAUUUAUGAUUGUAUUUUACAAAAAUAAGAAUUCUGUUGUUUGAUUAAUUUUUUUCCAACUUUGUCAAAUAAGGGGAAGCAACUCAAAUGCAAGGGCAGAUAAUCCAGAUAGUGUUACUUUUACUAUAGAAUGUGUUAGGAAUUUACCCAUUUUUACAUGUAGCAAGAAAACGAGUCCGGUGACCCCAUUUUUUCUUUUUCUUAUCUGAAAGCAUAAUAUUGAAGCUAUCUUCUCAUAUUUUAUCUCAAAAUUCUAUGGUGUGGUUUGCGUUUUAUGGCGGAAAAAUGGGUUUUCCAUGCAUAAUCUAUACAAAAUCUUUACAAUUUUGAACAACCUGUAGCGUGAAAAUAAGUCCGGUGACCAUUCUUUUUAUUAAUGUUUUUAAACAAGCAGGAUAUGAACUACAUUUUGGCAAAUUAUUAAAAGAUUCUAUGGAUUAUAAUUUAGACACCCCAUCUACCUUAAGUG
RNAcentral lists this long non-coding RNA (553 nucleotides) under Mytilus galloprovincialis (Mediterranean mussel). The record is from RNAcentral. Lineage: Eukaryota; Metazoa; Mollusca; Bivalvia; Mytilida; Mytilidae.